GGUAGCGUGGCCGAGUGGUCUAAGGCGCUGGUUUAAGGCACCAGUCUCUUCGGAGGCGUGGGUUCGAAUCCCAUCGCUGCCA
This 82-nucleotide transfer RNA is filed under the name Octopus vulgaris (common octopus). It matches the Rfam family "tRNA". From Rfam's summary of the family: Transfer RNA (tRNA) molecules are approximately 80 nucleotides in length. Their secondary structure includes four short double-helical elements and three loops (D, anti-codon, and T loops). The record is from Rfam by way of RNAcentral. Lineage: Eukaryota; Metazoa; Mollusca; Cephalopoda; Octopoda; Octopodidae. RNAcentral also lists the same sequence under 1 other name.